UGCCCAGCAACUCCUAUCCCUACCUCGCGGUACUGGCCGGGGUACGAGUAACCUUAGGGAAGAUCGGGUAACCAACCCCCGAUGGGAACUUUGGUCGUAUGCUGACAGGGAAGG
RNAcentral lists this ribozyme (114 nucleotides) under Aedes aegypti (yellow fever mosquito). Its description in RNAcentral is "drz-agam-1 ribozyme". It matches the Rfam family "drz-agam-1 ribozyme". Lineage: Eukaryota; Metazoa; Arthropoda; Insecta; Diptera; Culicidae. The record is from Rfam by way of RNAcentral.